GAAAAAAAGGGGGAGGAAUUUUCUUUAAUUCAAUAGCUCCUUAGACAUUUUUUUCUCCAAAUAACCGAAUCUACAGGACAUUAUACCCCUAAUAUAACCAAUGUUACAGAGAAAGCCCAUCAAGGGAAUAAAAUAUGGAGAAAUUCUAGUUAGAGAUAAGAUUAAGUAUUUCAUACUAAAAUAAAAUUACUAGACGUGAGAAUAAAUAUUUUUAAAAUCCCUCGAUUUACAGUCUUCGUUCUGAUUUCCGUAAUUUAUUUAUUUAUUUAUUAUUUGUUUUAUAUAUCGGUGGUUAGUUUAUAAUAAUAAUUGCCGUUUUUUAUUAUGUGUUAACUCCGAAUAACUGCUCACUUUUCCCCAGCAUGUGAUGGGGGCAGGCUGGUUACUGUAUAGAGAUUAUGGGAUCUUCCCAAGUGAGGGAUCCUUGGAUCCUGCUGAAAUAUUAUGUAGGGGUUUCCAUGGGACCCCAAAACGGCUGAUGGUCCCCAGUUUAGAGAUCUGGAGUUAAUCUGUAAGGCUUUGUAUGGAGAGCUGGCCAGGGUUUUAGCGUCACAUCCAGCUGUCAGUCUUCGAAUUUAUGAAAUGUUUUCUGCUACAAAGUUGCAGCGAUGAAUGGAAUACGGCGUCAGACAAUGUAUCCCAAAAUCAGAAUGCUCGCUGUUAGAGCGCUUCAAGCCGUGUGUUCUUUGUAGAAUGGAUGUUCCACGGGGGGGCGCUAGAGGGCUGUGUAUGAAAGGGAUUCUGAGGCUUGUUCUCCAGUCAAGAUAGUCCAGUCUACAAAUGGACAGUAACAUUGCAACAGGGCAAAUAGAAUGGGGUUGGGUUCCUCUACCCCACACACCCUAAAUCCACCAAGGUCACAGAGAGGUCAGUCUUGGGCUCAGUGUAAAAGAGGGGAGAAAUAAAGUACUCUCCAAAAAUAAACAAAAUGACAUUUUUUUGAGAGGCACAGGGAGCUUUGGGGAAGUUGGGGGUAAAAGGGGGGGGGGGGUUGAUUAAUUUUAGACCCUUACUAAAAUACACACACAAAAACCCACCAAGUGCAUUUGGGCUUCUUUGUAAUCUGAACUCUCAUGAACCAUAAUAUCAGCAAGUGAAAGGAAAACUGAUCUAAAUAAAUAAACUAUCCAUUGGGGGAAAACAACGUGAUUUAACUAUGUACAACAAAAAAUAAAUAUAACAUAAUAAUUUUAAUAUUACUAAUAAACAUGAACAGUGGCAUAAAAUGAGUUCUUACUCACAGUUCUAUAUUGAACUCCAUUAUUCCUUUAAAAUCACUGAUUGGAACCCCCACCACUCUCUCCUUUUGCAAAUAUUCAGCCUCAGCCUGUCGUCCUGCCUCUAUUUGCGGUUUUGAACAACUUAAUAUUAAAUUAUCGUCAUCUAAACACUCCCUGCGUAAAAACAAACUGCUUCAAAGUGACAAAUUAGAUUAUUAUUGCAUUAUUUGCCUCUGAAGAGGGGAGCUAAUUGUCCCAUGUGAUUUAGCAUAGCCAAAAGGAUUUAAUCCCCCAAGCACAAUAGUCAAUAUAGUUUUUUGUUUUUUUUUAGUUUGUUUUUAACUCGGUUUCUAUAAAUCCACAGUCAGUAUAGGGUUAAUAGCUGAUAAUAACUGCUAAUUUAUUACAGCUAGAAUUUUGAAAGAAUUAUAUCACUUGAAUAAAGUAGUUCUCCCCCCUUUACCUGUAGGUGAUGUUUAGAUAAUUGGAGAGACUCACAGACAACUGUAUGCUCUCCUACAAAAUCCCCUGUUUAACUUUAGGAAGAGCUUGUAUUUGCCCCUGUGUUACAGAGCCUAAUUCUCAGCUGCUGUGUGUUGGGGGGGUUGCUUUAAGUGCCCUGUUGCAAUUGUCCAUGGUUCUAAGGAAGGAGAUCUAAGCAUUUUUAGCUGCUUGCAUUGUUUUAUCAGCUCCUAAUGAUCCCCCCACCCAGCUGGACCCCUCAUUCAGGGGCACUCAGAGCUCUCACCCCAAACUGACCCCAAUCUGACUCUCAUAGAUGAUACCUUACCUUCUGUUAAAGCCAUUUGUAGGCAGGCUCAGUCAUUCUGUCAGCAGAACUGUCCGAUGCUUUGUGUUGGAUAAAUAAAAAUGGACUUUUACCCCAGUGGGUUUAUCCAAAACAGUGAUUCACGAAAAAAAAAAAAAAAAAAUUGGAAAGAAAGAAAGAAAUAGAAACAAAUAAAGGAAGAAAAUGAUCUCCUGGGCUCCGGAUACUUUGAUCCCGAAUGGAAAAAGAAAAAUAAGGUCCUUCAAAUGCAAAACAUUUCCUGAAUUUGAAACAGAACUAAACAUGUGACAAUAUUGCAGGGAUUACACAAAUAGGAGAAUUACAAAGAAGCCAUAGCACCAGAUUUAUUCAGAGUGAACCAGAAUUACA
Molecule: non-coding RNA, 2379 nt
Organism: Pelobates cultripes (western spadefoot toad)
Lineage: Eukaryota; Metazoa; Chordata; Amphibia; Anura; Pelobatidae
Source: the annotation of a GenBank genome assembly